CCUACGGGGGGCAGCAGUGGGGAAUAUUGGGCAAUGGGCGCAAGCCUGACCCAGCAACGCCGCGUGAAGGAAGAAGGCUUUCGGGUUGUAAACUUCUUUUAAGAGGGAAGAGCAGAAGACUGUACCUCUUGAAUAAGCCACGGCUAACUACGUGCCAGCAGCCGCGGUAAUACGUAGGUGGCAAGCGUUGUCCGGAUUUACUGGGUGUAAAGGGCGUGCAGCCGGGAAGACAAGUCAGAUGUGAAAGCCCGCGGCUCAACCGCGGAACUGCAUUUGAAACUGUUUUUCUUGAGUACCGGAGAGGUCAUCGGAAUUCCUUGUGUAGCGGUGAAAUGCGUAGAUAUAAGGAAGAACACCAGUGGCGAAGGCGGAUGACUGGACGGCAACUGACGGUGAGGCGCGAAAGCGUGGGGAGCAAACAGGAUUAGAUACCCGUGUAGUC
RNAcentral lists this ribosomal RNA (442 nucleotides) under uncultured bacterium. RNAcentral describes it as "partial 16S ribosomal RNA". It matches the Rfam family "Bacterial small subunit ribosomal RNA", at positions 338 to 795 of the family's 1533-position model. The record is from RNAcentral.